This 535-nucleotide ribosomal RNA is filed under the name Helvella macrosperma. RNAcentral's name for it is "eukaryotic LSU rRNA". It matches the Rfam family "Eukaryotic large subunit ribosomal RNA", at positions 119 to 665 of the family's 3401-position model. The record is from RNAcentral. Lineage: Eukaryota; Fungi; Ascomycota; Pezizomycetes; Pezizales; Helvellaceae.
AAUCUGGGGUCGCCGACCUCCGAGUUGUAAUUUGGAGAGGCGCCUUUGGGGGGGAGCGCUGGCCCAUGUUCCUUGGAACAGGACGUCGCAGAGGGUGAGAAUCCCGUGCCAGGCCGGCUGCCUCCUCCCGCGUGAGGUGCCUUCGACGAGUCGAGUUGUUUGGGAAUGCAGCUCCAAGUGGGUGGUAAAUUUCAUCUAAAGCUAAAUACUUGCGGGAGACCGAUAGCGCACAAGUAGAGUGAUCGAAAGAUGAAAAGCACUUUGAAAAUAGAGUCAAAAAGUACGUGAAAUUGUUGAAAGGGAAGCGCUUGAGACCAGACUCAGACCCGAGCAAACAUCGCGCCCCUCGGGGCCGUGCACUUGCCUGGGGCUGGGCCAGCAUCGGUUGGCGUGGCGGGACAAAGGCGCGGGGAAUGUGGCUCCCCUCGGGGAGUGUUAUUAGGCCCGUGCUGAAUGCCGCCGCCGCCGACUGAGGACCGCGCCUCGGCUAGGAUGCUGGCUUAAUGGCCUUCAGCGACCCGUCUUGAAACACGGA